GGAAAUUGCCUUCCAAAUCCUCAUUAAGUUAGAAGGCUUUUACUGACAUUUAGAAAGCAGGUUUAUGGUCAGAACAAAUAAAAACAGUGCAGAUGUCUUCAUAAGGCUGAUUCCAGAAGAUCAGCUGUUUUGUAAAGGUAAGUGAUUUGCAUUUAUUACAUAUGGAUUACCCAUUCUUUGCCAAAUUUUUUCCCCAAAGAGAUGAAUUUUUACCAAAGAUUAUAGUUGUUGUUGUUGUGGUUUUUCCUUUUUUUUUUUUCCGAAGGAAAGCAAUUGUCUUCAUGCAUAAAAGUCAGUGCUUGUUUUAUACAUUGCAAGAAACAAAAAGCAUAUUUUUUGUUUGUUGCUUCCCCAAAAGACAUUCCUUUUAGAAUGCCUUGGAACUAUGUUCUAUCAUAUCACUCUUUAAAAAAAACAAAGAAGAAUAUAUUCUUAUUUGGAAGAGACUUAAUAUAAUCAACUCAUGGUUACUUUUACUGAUGCUUGAGUCUUUUAAAUGUAGUAAUUGAUCAAAUUGUAUUAAGCCAUAAGGGACUUUCUGGAAUUCAGUUAAGGCAACUAGGUGAGUGUUACUACUGCAGAUGAGGUUUCAGGAUUCAUUUGGUCAGACUGAAGAUGUUCUAUGUAGUAUAAAUUGAUUAUAUCUCAUUCUUGAACUACAAGACUUUAAAAUGCCUUUACACUUAAAUAAUUCUGAUAGGGUGAUUUUCCUUUGUAGACACUGUAAUUAUGUUAACAUUUGCUGUAUUUUGGUGGAAUUUAUUUACAUUAAAAUGAUUUACAAACAGGCAUUCCCACAUUCUUUGGAGGAAAGUGUCUAAUCUCAAAAUGGUACUUUUUAUUUCUGCUCUGAUGUACAAAGCCUAUAAGGGCAUUUUAUCAUGCUUAUAAGAAAACUAGUCAAAAUUUACUAACUGAUAUUAGUCUGCAUUAAUACAAACUAUUGAACCAAAAAACAUGACCUUUGUAAUCUGGUAAAGAUACUGAUAAUUUAAGAUUUUCUUUUUCUAUCUCUAACCUUUUUAAAAGUGAAUUUCAUUACAUUGUUAUUAUUUGGAUGCAUACCUUCAUGGUAUGAGUCUGGAGAGUUUUCACCUGGCUGUAGGACAGACACCAUGACCCAAAGGAAUUCUUACUCUUCCCAACUCUUAAAGACUUGAAACUUCAAGCAGACCUGACAUAAAGAUGUCUUUGGUAUAGCUCUUUGGCUAUUUCUAAAGAGUGGAUGCACUUUGGCCACCUUUGAUAAGUUCCAAGAUGAUGACAGAAAGAAAAAGAUUGGGAAAGACAGAAUGUGCCUGUCCUUUUUGACUUGAGGGAGAGAGAGAAUGUGCCACCCUCCUUGAUCUUAAGCGUGGGGUGAGAAUGGCAACACUUUGUGUUUUUUAUAAGUAGUGCCAAUUUUUAAAGGAUCACCUGGUGAGACUUGGGAUUCCUUUGACUCGAGCUUUUCCUUCACUUUGCCUCAUAUUUUCUUGGUAGCUCACUUUCUUUUUCAUUGCUAAAGUGGGGGCUAGAUGUUUCUUCAUACUCUCCCAAAACAGGAGUUCUACAUAGAAAGUAAGAGAAAGGGAGAAGAUUUUAAUCUUCAUUUAACAAAUGUGUAUUGAGCCACCUACAAUAACCAGGGCUCUAGAGAGUGUACAAAAUCAAUUCAAACAAAAUCCAACACUCAGGAGCUUAUGUUUUGGUGUAUAUAGCCAACAUAUAUGACAAAAGUGAUGAAAACCUUAAGAAUCUAUGAUACUUUGCUCCUAGGUCAAUAGCUUGCUUCCUUACUUUGUGGUCCAGGCCAUGUACUAAUUUUCCUGGCUUUUCUAAUGUUUGUGUUUAUUCUUCUUUCAAAGGGCAACAAUUUUUAUGAUCCCAAAGCAAUUUCACCAAAUUUUAAAUACAGUUAUGACUCUCAUUCAGUUCAUUUAUGACACAGAUGACUAUUAUACAGAGAUGGUACUCAUUUAGUACCCUGGCCCUAAUACAGGGCUGUCCCUGUAAUAGAAUAAUGCUUUGCUUCUUUUGGAAUCUGAGGGAAGUAUAGUAUUUUCCCUUUUGCCAGAGAGAUCUUUUGUCUCUAUGGAGUCAAAAGUGGGAGGGGUGGGAAGAGAGGUUGGGAACCAGGAAACUAGCCACAGUAUUGAGUUUCAGCCAGGUGCAUCAGAUUGAGAAUGUAAUGUCCCUAGUUUAUUGAACAAGAGCAGAAAAAUCUCUUGGAGUUCAAAGCAACCAUGGUGUUGAUUUUCUCCUUUCUUGAAAACAAGUUUUGAACUUAGACUGUAGAGGUUGGAGAUUUAGGGGGAGAAGAUAACCAUUUAGGAUAAUCCAUAAAGUUUAGGACUUGACUUAGUUGACCUAGUUAAUUUUAGAACUAGGUUGACCUAGUUAAUUUUAGAAAAUUUAACACUGCUACAGUACAAUUUAAUCUUGAACAUUUGAUUUCAAUUUUUUUUAGAGCUGCAUUUUUGCAAGAGGUAACAGAGUUAUCUAAACAAAGUGAGUUCUUGAGAGUUUUGAAGAAAUAAAGUAUCCAACCAUUAAGAUUUAUGUCUUCCAGUCUUAACUGAGGUUUUCUAUAUAGUAGGAAGUGCCACAUUUGCUAUUUGAUUUUAAAAGUGUAGAUAGAUGAUAGCCAUACAAAGUGUAAACAGCCAUAAUUAAAAUGCUUUCAUUGUGACCGGGCAUGGUGGCUCACACCUGUAAUCCCAGCACUUUGGGAGGCUGAGGCUGGCAGAUCACUUGACGUCAAGAGUUCGAGACCAGCCCGGCCAACAUGGUGAAACCCUGUCUCUACUAAAAAUACAAAAAUUAGCCAGGCAUGGUGGCGAGCACCUGUCAUCCCAGCUACUCAAAAGGCUGAGGCAGGAGAAUCACUUCAACCCGGGAAGCGGGGUUUGCAGUAAACCCAGGAUCACACCGCUGUACUCCAGCCUGGGUGACAGAGCAAGACUCUGUCUCAAUUAAAAAAAAAAUUUUUUUUUUUUUCAUUGUAAGAACUCAUGGCUUAUUAAACCACUGGGGGCUUUUGGAAUCUUGUUUCUAUAAUCAUUUGUUUCUAUUACUAGACUACAUCAUUUAUUUUACUGUUGCUUUCUUUUCAAUCCAUAUUGGACAAAAUUUGAGACCAAAAUUUAAAGGGAGGGGUGCGAAAAAGAAGAGACUCUUAAAUGAUUUUUAAAAUUCAGUACAAGUGUAUUUCAUUUUAAAUGAUAGAUAUUGUGUUUGCAAAAAUGCAUGACAUCAAUCCACUCUGUCCCCCAUACUUCAGGUAAAUAAACACAUUUUCAGUGUACUUUAUGAAUAUAUUAUUCACUUUUCUGAAAAGUACAUUUAAACUUCAAAAUUUUGUAUGCACAAUUGUAGAAUCUGUUUGAAUGUACUUGACCUGUUUUUUCUUCUGCAUGUGAAUGCCUUCUUAAUUGCCUUCUGCUUUUACUAGCUGCCUGUAUCCUAACAAUUUGGAGUUGGGAACUCUUCUGAAUAGAAAUUUUGUCUUCCAUUCUCUAUACUCUGCAGAUUUUUAUAUCUAGUUGCAACAUUUCUAUUAUGCUUCAUACUUCCUCACAACAAUUAUGAAUGUUCUACAGAUUUAGAGGUAGAAUUCAAAAACAUAUACAAGGAAAAAGGCAGGGUGCACUCCUUUUAUUAAAAGGCCAGAACACAUCCUGGUUCACUGUUGCAAGACCACUGGGAUGCAUUAGGUGAAUCUAACUUAGCUUGUGACACAAGUUAAUAAAGUUGAAUCCGGUUUUUUUGUUUUUUUUAAGGUUGAUGGCUGAAGUGAGAUUAAUUUCUAAAUAGUCUCAACUCUUGAGACUUGCUAUAUUGCUUAUAAUGAAGAGGAAAAGGACACUUUCAUUACUUUACAUAUUUAUGUAAUUGGAGGGAAUGGAAAGUUUUUGGGAAUAUGAAUCAAAUAUUAGACUGUUUUCUUACUUUAGUUUGUAUAUGUUUUAAUUGUUUUCUCUCUCUACCCAUUAAAGAUUCCAGUGCUGAAUAUUCAAAUGAAAAUUUUUCCUGCACUUUGUACUGUAGCAGGGACCAUAUUUUCCUGUACAAAUUACUUCCGUGUAAUCUUCACAGGUGGUGUUGGCAAAAAUGGAUCAACAAUAGCAGGAACAAGUGUCCUUUCUCCUUUUCUCCAUAUUGGAUCAGUGAUUACAUUAGCUGCAAUGAUCUACAAGAAAUCUGCAGUUCAGCUUUUUGAAAAGCAUCCCUGUCUUUAUAUACUGACAUUUGGUUUUGUGUCUGCUAAAAUCACUAAUAAGCUUGUGGUUGCACACAUGACGAAAAGUGAAAUGCAUUUGCAUGACACAGCAUUCAUAGGUCCGGCACUUUUGUUUCUGGACCAGUAUUUUAACAGCUUUAUUGAUGAAUAUAUUGUACUUUGGAUUGCCCUGGUUUUCUCUUUCUUUGAUUUGAUCCGCUACUGUGUCAGUGUUUGCAAUCAGAUUGCGUCUCACCUGCACAUACAUGUCUUCAGAAUCAAGGUCUCUACAGCUCAUUCUAAUCAUCAUUAAUGAUGUAAUUGGUAUAUAGGAACAUCAUGUUUUCUGCAGGAAAGAAUCUGAACAUAUUAAGGAGAAUGGGGGUGGAUAAGAACAAAUAUAAUUUAUAAUAAUCAAUGUUGUAUAACUUUUAUUCUUUAUUAUUGGUAACACUCCCUAACUAUCCUGUGUGAGAAUGGGAAUUUCAAGUCCCAUCUUGUAAAUUGUAUAUGUUGUCAUGCAGGGUUUGGGCCAAGAAAGCAUGCAGAAAAAAAUGCCAUGUGAUUGUAAUUAUCCUGGAUUCAGAAUAAUACUGUGAUGGGGAGCCAGAUCCACAGUGGUGGAGAGUUCUAAUGUUGACUGUUUGCAGGCCAAAAGAUGAUUGCUUUAUAAUUUUAACAAAUCAUUGUCUUUUAGUAACAUCCUUGUUUAGUGUCUUCUCAAGCUUUCUUUACUGAGGAAUUCAGCUUGUGACACAGAUACAUCCCACUAGCUUGUGAGGUGGAACUAGUAAUAAAGACCUUGAAUUUGGAUUGAAAGUUUUCCUAUCUUUACAUUGUUGAGGAAGUCCUUUUUUUUUUUUUUUUUUUUUUUUUUUUUUAUAAUUGCUCAAGAAAUGAUUCUCUCACAGGCUUGAGAAAUCCUGUUAGCAUGCAGAAUAAUGUGGUAACUUUGUCAAUUUCCCAUUUUAUUUUUUUAAAUAAAUAUAUGAUCUGAAAGCCAACUUUUUCUCAGUUUUACUCAGUGGAAAGAUAAACUAAGUUUUAAUGUUAUUUUUUUAAAUUUAAGCAAAAUUUAUUUCUGUUCUUUAAUAAAUAAGAAAAUGUGGUCCAC
This 5315-nucleotide small RNA is filed under the name Pan troglodytes (chimpanzee). RNAcentral describes it as "processed transcript". The record is from RNAcentral. Lineage: Eukaryota; Metazoa; Chordata; Mammalia; Primates; Hominidae.